Molecule: long non-coding RNA, 683 nt
Filed under: Mustela putorius furo (domestic ferret)
Lineage: Eukaryota; Metazoa; Chordata; Mammalia; Carnivora; Mustelidae
Description: lncRNA (ENSMPUG00000029827.1)
Source: RNAcentral
GGCCGCUUGUCCUUCCUGGCAACUGGACUGGCGCCAGGUGCCACAUCACGAAGGCCAUAUAAGAGUGAGCGAGCUCCGGAGAGACGCUCAGAGGACGCCCACCCCGGGGGAGACACCCUUAGGACACCCAGAGAUUUGGCUGGGGAAUCCCUGAAACGAAACUGCCACAUUGGCUCCACGUGCCCUCACAGGGGACCUGGGAGCCAGAGCCCGAGAGGAUCCGUCGUAAGGGACAUAUUAGGCAACCUGCCCAGACCCUUCCCUCUCCAAUAGUGGAACUGAACUUUUUAGCGUGUUCUGGCCCUUUCGACUCCCCAGCCAGCAGUAUUUCAGAUUAAGGAGAAUGAGUGACAGCCACGCUCUGAAGCACCCAGGAAGGGUAGCUUUCGAUGCCGGUGUGAUAAAGAUGUUUUGGGAGGAAAAAAUCAAGCUGCACACAAGACAACUUCAGAGCGAGGCCAUGAGGACCCGCAGGAGUGCCCUGGACAGGCAGAGAGGCAGGCAGAGAGAGAGGAGGAGGAAGCAGGCUCCCCGCUAAGCAGAGAGCCCGAUGCGGGGCUCAAUCCCAGGACUCAGGACUCAGGACUCUGGGAUCAUGACUUGAGCCGAAGGCAGAGGCUUUAACCCACUGAGCCACCCAGGCGCCCCUGGAAUUUGCUGGAUUUUAAUAAAACUGAGGAAAC